UAGGGAAUCUUCGGCAAUGGACGAAAGUCUGACCGAGCAACGCCGCGUGAGUGAAGAAGGUUUUCGGAUCGUAAAACUCUGUUGUUAGAGAAGAACAAGGACGUUAGUAACUGAACGUCCCCUGACGGUAUCUAACCAGAAAGCCACGGCUAACUACGUGCCAGCAGCCGCGGUAAUACGUAGGUGGCAAGCGUUGUCCGGAUUUAUUGGGCGUAAAGCGAGCGCAGGCGGUUUCUUAAGUCUGAUGUGAACGCCCCCGGCUCAACCGGGGAGGGUCAUUGGAAACUGGGAGACUUGAGUGCAGAAGAGGAGAGUGGAAUUCCAUGUGUAGCGGUGAAAUGCGUAGAUAUAUGGAGGAACACCAGUGGCGAAGGCGGCUCUCUGGUCUGUAACUGACGCUGAGGCUCGAAAGCGUGGGGAGCAAACAGG
Molecule: ribosomal RNA, 429 nt
Filed under: Gemmatimonadota bacterium
Lineage: Bacteria; Pseudomonadati; Gemmatimonadota
Description: Gemmatimonadetes bacterium partial 16S ribosomal RNA
Rfam family: Bacterial small subunit ribosomal RNA
Source: RNAcentral